Molecule: ribosomal RNA, 376 nt
Filed under: uncultured bacterium
Lineage: Bacteria
Description: bacterial SSU rRNA
Rfam family: Bacterial small subunit ribosomal RNA
Source: RNAcentral
GGGCCCGCACAAGCGGUGGAGCAUGUGGCUUAAUUCGAGGCAACGCGAAGAACCUUACCUGGUCUUGACAUGCCCGUCAUAGUUUUCCGAAAGGAAUUCGUCGGUUCGGCCGGACGGUGCACAGGUGCUGCAUGGCUGUCGUCAGCUCGUGUCGUGAGAUGUUCGGUUAAGUCCGGCAACGAGCGCAACCCCUCGUUCCUAGUUGCCAGCGGGUAAUGCCGGGGACUCUAGGAAGACAAACCUCGUGUAGAGGUGGGAAGGUGGGGACGACGUCAAGUCAGUAUGGGCCCUUACGACCAGGGCUGCACACGUGCUACAAUGCUCGGCACAAUGGGAUGCAAUACCGCGAGGUUGAGCCAAUCCAUAAAACGAGCCC